RNAcentral lists this ribosomal RNA (253 nucleotides) under uncultured bacterium. Its description in RNAcentral is "partial 16S ribosomal RNA". It matches the Rfam family "Bacterial small subunit ribosomal RNA", at positions 524 to 776 of the family's 1533-position model. The record is from RNAcentral.
UACGAAGGGGGCUAGCGUUGCUCGGAAUAACUGGGCGUAAAGGGCGCGUAGGCGGCCGAUCAAGUCAGAGGUGAAAGCCCAGGGCUCAACCCUGGAAUUGCCUUUGAUACUGUUCGGCUAGAGACCGGAAGAGGUUAGUGGAACUGCGAGUGUAGAGGUGAAAUUCGUAGAUAUUCGCAAGAACACCAGUGGCGAAGGCGGCUAACUGGUCCGGUUCUGACGCUGAGGCGCGAAAGCGUGGGGAGCAAACAGG